CGCAGACGGAAUUGAAUCCCGUUAGUAACUGUUGCCCUUUCUCGGCAUGGAACGGACGCUUUGGGCGCUUCUCGGACGUUUUGGGGGAUGAAAACCACUGAUGACGCUGCUGCCUCAGUGUCCCUUCGGGAGGAUUUGAGAAUUCUAUAUCCACGUUAACUCGAACAAAUAUCCUAAUGACUAUCACUCCAGACAGAGAUUUGGGAAAGCACAGGUAUUUCUGAAAGUCCUCUGAAUACUCUUUUCUUUCAUUUCUUUUCUUUGAUUUUUUAAUAU
Non-coding RNA from Pogona vitticeps (central bearded dragon), 276 nucleotides. The record is from RefSeq and is a predicted model, not a curated record. Lineage: Eukaryota; Metazoa; Chordata; Lepidosauria; Squamata; Agamidae.